GGGUUUAUAUUUAAAAAAUAAAAUUUGAUUUGCAGUCAAAAAUUAGUAAAGAUACUUAAGCCCA
This 64-nucleotide transfer RNA is filed under the name Cermatobius longicornis. RNAcentral describes it as "tRNA-Ala". Lineage: Eukaryota; Metazoa; Arthropoda; Chilopoda; Lithobiomorpha; Henicopidae. The record is from RNAcentral.